ACCAUUUCUUUCAUUUGGCAAAUGACAUCAUGGAGAACAAUGAACACAUUCUGCUCUGAAUUAGCUCUUGGUAUCAUUGCCAGAGGCAGACUUUCUGGCUGGAGAAAACACUGAACUGACACAGAGUGACCCCCGUAAGGUGACAGUGUUCAGAUGUUGGGCUGAUUGGCAGUGACAUAGUGAGUUUAAAAAAAGAAAAUCAUGGGAGGAGGAGCCAAGAUGGCCGAAUAGGAACAGCUCCGGUCUACAGCUCCCAGCGUGAGCGACGCAGAAGACGGGUGAUUUCUGCAUUUCCAUCUGAGAAAUAAAGCAGUGAAGUGACUAAAACAGCAGAAAACAAAAUCUUCUUGAGUAAAGUACUCUUGGCAGUAGACUUUAUGAUGUGGUACAACAUCAGGAAAAAAUAAACCCAGCAGACAGAUGGUCUCCAGAGAGAAAUAACCAUAAACUCUGAAACUACUACACAUGAAAGUACCUGCCCAAGGAAUAGAGAAGACAGAUGUUUCUCUAGGGAUUGACCUACAAUGGCACUUGUUGCUCUUGGUGACCAGAGCUAAAAGAAAGCUGAAAGCCAGCAUCAGUGUGUGAAGUCACUGAAGUAUUUUAUAGAUCAGAAAAGUUGGCAAGCGAUGGACACUAGACAACACAAACUUCCUCUCUCCAAAAAUAUAUUCACAGUCAGCUUUAAAGCUGUAGUCACUCCUCUGGGGUCUGAAUAAACAUGGCCAUUCUUGAUAGACAUGUUGACUGAUGGACUGAGAGAUAUAGAUACAUGCCAUGAGAUCUCUUUAUGAGCAGUGGUCUUAUGGAUAUCUGCAUGACCUCUGCUGAAGUAAAAUACUGUGGUUCGUGAGAAGACGUGACCUUUGGAUACAGCUGGUCUAGUCCUGGCUCUGCUGUGUCAGUGAAAGUGGAACAGUUACAUGGCUCUCCCGAAUCUCUGUUUUCACUUGGUUAAAUGAGGGUUACAUGUACUUACUUCCAGUGUUGUUAUGAGAAUUAAAUGAGAUUAAAUGUUAAAAUUUGUGAGCGGUCAA
Long non-coding RNA from Homo sapiens (human), 1037 nucleotides. RefSeq lists it as uncharacterized. The transcript has 5 exons. The record is from RefSeq and is a predicted model, not a curated record. Lineage: Eukaryota; Metazoa; Chordata; Mammalia; Primates; Hominidae.